CCUACGGGAGGCAGCAGUGAGGAAUAUUGGUCAAUGGACGAGAGUCUGAACCAGCCAAGUAGCGUGAAGGAUGACUGCCCUACGGGUUGUAAACUUCUUUUAUAUGGGAAUAAAAUGUUCCACGUGUGGGAUUUUGUGUGUACCAUAUGAAUAAGGAUCGGCUAACUCCGUGCCAGCAGCCGCGGUAAUACGGAGGAUCCGAGCGUUAUCCGGAUUUAUUGGGUUUAAAGGGAGCGUAGGUGGAUUGUUAAGUCAGUUGUGAAAGUUUGCGGCUCAACCGUGAAAUUGCAGUUGAAACUGGCAGUCUUGAGUACAAAAGAGGUGGGCGGAAUUCGUGGUGUAGCGGUGAAAUGCUUAGAUAUCACGAAGAACUCCGAUUGCGAAGGCAGCUCGCUGGACUGCAACUGACGCUGAGGCUCGAAAGUGUGGGUAUCAAACAGGAUUAGAUACCCCAGUAGUC
RNAcentral lists this ribosomal RNA (460 nucleotides) under uncultured bacterium. RNAcentral's name for it is "partial 16S ribosomal RNA". It matches the Rfam family "Bacterial small subunit ribosomal RNA", at positions 338 to 795 of the family's 1533-position model. The record is from RNAcentral.